This 253-nucleotide ribosomal RNA is filed under the name uncultured bacterium. RNAcentral's name for it is "partial 16S ribosomal RNA". It matches the Rfam family "Bacterial small subunit ribosomal RNA", at positions 524 to 776 of the family's 1533-position model. The record is from RNAcentral.
UACGGAGGGGGCUAGCGUUGUUCGGAAUUACUGGGCGUAAAGCGCACGUAGGCGGCUUUGUAAGUCAGGGGUGAAAUCCCGGGGCUCAACCUCGGAACUGCCUUUGAUACUGCAAAUCUCGAGUCCGGAAGAGGUGAGUGGAAUUCCUAGUGUAGAGGUGAAAUUCGUAGAUAUUAGGAAGAACACCAGUGGCGAAGGCGGCUCACUGGUCCGGUACUGACGCUGAGGUGCGAAAGCGUGGGGAGCAAACAGG